GUGAGGGAACGGCUCACCAACACUACUAUAGGGAGGGGCCCUGACAGGGGGAUCCCCCGCGCUGGAACUGAGACCCGGACCCCACUCCUACGGGAGGCAGCAGAGAAGAGUAUUGGGCGAUGGAGGCAGCAUCUGAUCCAGCCGUGCGGCGUGCAAGAGGACUGCCCUAUGGGUUGUAUUCUGCUUUUAUAUAAGAAGAAACACUCCCACGCGUGGGGGCUUGACGGUACUAGAUGAAUAAGGAUCGGCUAACUCCGUGCCAGCAGCCGCGGUAAUACGGAGGAUCCAAGCGUUAUCCGGAAUCAUUGGGUUUAAAGGGCCCGCAGGCGGCCUGUUAAGUCGGAUGUGAAAGCCCACAGCUCAACUGAUGAACUGCCUUUGAUACUGAUACGCUUGAGUUAUAGUGAAGUGGGUAGAAUGUGUGGUGUAGCGGUGAAAUGCUUAGAUAUCACGCAGAAUACCCGUUGCGAAGGCAGAUCACUGGCUAUAUACUGACGCUCAUGGGCGAAAGCGUGGGGAGCGAACGGGAUUAGAUACC
RNAcentral lists this ribosomal RNA (538 nucleotides) under uncultured marine bacterium. Its description in RNAcentral is "bacterial SSU rRNA". It matches the Rfam family "Bacterial small subunit ribosomal RNA", at positions 252 to 786 of the family's 1533-position model. The record is from RNAcentral.